UUUUUUUUUGCCUUUUGUUU
This 20-nucleotide small RNA is filed under the name Arabidopsis thaliana (thale cress). Its description in RNAcentral is "ATSL141690". Lineage: Eukaryota; Viridiplantae; Streptophyta; Magnoliopsida; Brassicales; Brassicaceae. The record is from RNAcentral.